This is a small nucleolar RNA of Jatropha curcas, 106 nucleotides long. The record is from RefSeq and is a predicted model, not a curated record. NCBI's taxonomy places the organism in Eukaryota, Viridiplantae, Streptophyta, Magnoliopsida, Malpighiales, Euphorbiaceae.
AAGCUAGAUGUGGGCACUUCCUCAAUGUCCUUGAAUCUCUCGCAAGCUUCAUACAAACUUUCUUUGAUCAUCAGGUGGGAAAAGUCAUUAUCUCAUUGCGAAGCGU